CCCUUAGAUGUUCUGGGCCGCACGCGCGCUACACUGAUGCAUUCAACGAGCCUAUCCUUGACCGACAGGUCCGGGUAAUCUUUGAAUCUGCAUCGUGACGGGGAUAGAUUAUUGCAAUUAUUAAUCUUCAACGAGGAAUGCCUAGUAGGCGCAAGUCAUCAGCUUGCGUCGAUUACGUCCCUGCCCUUUGUACACACCGCCCGUCGCUCCUACCGAUUGAAUGUUCCGGUGAACACUUUGGAAUAGUUCUUAUGUGAGGGGAAACUCUUUGCUUGGAUACUGUGAAGUUGUGUAAACCUUAACAUUUAGAGGAAGGAGAAGUCGUAACA
RNAcentral lists this ribosomal RNA (329 nucleotides) under uncultured eukaryote. Its description in RNAcentral is "partial 18S ribosomal RNA". It matches the Rfam family "Eukaryotic small subunit ribosomal RNA", at positions 1470 to 1796 of the family's 1831-position model. The record is from RNAcentral.